UACGGAGGGGGCUAGCGUUGUUCGGAAUUACUGGGCGUAAAGCGCACGUAGGCGGCUUUGUAAGUUAGAGGUGAAAGCCCGGGGCUCAACUCCGGAACUGCCUUUAAGACUGCAUCGCUAGAAUUGUGGAGAGGUGAGUGGAAUUCCGAGUGUAGAGGUGAAAUUCGUAGAUAUUCGGAAGAACACCAGUGGCGAAGGCGACUUACUGGACACAUAUUGACGCUGAGGUGCGAAAGCGUGGGGAGCAAACAGG
RNAcentral lists this ribosomal RNA (253 nucleotides) under uncultured bacterium. Its description in RNAcentral is "partial 16S ribosomal RNA". It matches the Rfam family "Bacterial small subunit ribosomal RNA", at positions 524 to 776 of the family's 1533-position model. The record is from RNAcentral.